AGUAAGGUGCCUGAGAAAAGGACUACUUUGAUAGAGUAGAUCAUGUAAUAAAUUACUCUUACUA
Molecule: transfer RNA, 64 nt
Filed under: Lepas australis
Lineage: Eukaryota; Metazoa; Arthropoda; Thecostraca; Lepadidae
Description: tRNA-Ile
Source: RNAcentral